Mauremys reevesii (Reeves's turtle) is the source of this 1125-nucleotide long non-coding RNA. RefSeq lists it as uncharacterized. The transcript has 5 exons. NCBI's taxonomy places the organism in Eukaryota, Metazoa, Chordata, Testudines, Geoemydidae. The record is from RefSeq and is a predicted model, not a curated record.
GUUGAAAGCAGAAACUACUGAUUUGCUCAAAUUUAGGCUCAGCUGCCGCUUUUGGAAGUCAUCUUCCAUGAUCUAAAGGCACAUCACUUGUGUACACAUUGAAGAGUGUCGGAGCAAGUACAGAACUUUGUGGUAGCCCAUUAUUCAAAGUGAGCAGCUUGAUGGUUUGACUUCUCAGGUCUCUCCUGGAGGGCAAGGACAUCGAUGCUGGUCAUCUUCAGAAUUUUUUCCAGGUAGUCACACUUGGACCAUGACAGUGCUUCAACGUUCAACUGGCAAAUCUUUCCUACAGGUCUAAUUUGUCUAGGACAUUGGCCCUAAGAAGAUAUUGCCUCACCCACCAUGUCUCUCUAAUGUCCUGGGACUGAUCUGCCUACAACAGUACUGCAUACCUAUCGAAGUGCUGUGAAUUAAAUGGACCUGUGAGAGGAGGUGACACUGGUGCCUAAAUAUGGAUCUAGGCAACGAACAUUUUGAAAACCAUCAUCCCAGGAAAGAUCUCUCCAAAUCAUCGCAACAAAGGCACAUUGGGUGGUUGUGAGCUCCAAUGUUACCUGUUCUGUUGUAAAACAGUGGGUAAAGCAGUCUGCCAGUCUGCCUUGCAAUCAGUGGCAGGACGGUGGCCAUAUUUAUCAAAGUUUCCAGUAUUAUUGUAAUUGCUUACUCAAUAUUACUUUGAAUGCAACAUAUGAAACAUUAAACCAAAUCAAUAUUUAUUAGACACUUUUAGAAUUGUGUUUAUGUGUUUGUGGAUGACACAAAUACAUAUUGAUUGUAUAAAAGAUUCCCCCCUUUAAAUCUACAUCAGAUGACCUCACAUUUAUUUAAAUGUGCAUGCAAAUCUUUCAGUAAAUUAUAUUUCCCCGUCUAAUUGUUAUUGAUUUUCUUCUACGCCAUUUUGUGAAGGAGUACAUUUUGUGUAAGGACUUAGCCACAUAUUGAAGUAUAACAGUGUUUGUGACUUGUAAUUAAAAACAAUAAACAUUUUAUAUGUAUUUUCCUCAUUAGUGGCACAAACUUUGCUAUUAGCAUUAUGCAAAUAAGGGUCCGUAAAAAACUAAAACAUCACUCCAUAAAUACGUUGGAACACAUUUGGCAACAAAGAUUGUUACAGUAAUAAAUUCU